This 21-nucleotide non-coding RNA is filed under the name Caenorhabditis elegans. Lineage: Eukaryota; Metazoa; Nematoda; Chromadorea; Rhabditida; Rhabditidae. The record is from RNAcentral.
UACAGCAACUGCAGUUAAUCG